UACGUAGGGUGCAAGCGUUAAUCGGAAUCACUGGGCGUAAAGCGUGCGCAGGCGGUCUUGCAAGACAGGUGUGAAAUCCCCGGGCUUAACCUGGGAACUGCAUUUGUGACUGCAAGGCUGGAGUGCGGAAGAGGGGGAUGGAAUUCCGCGUGUAGCAGUGAAAUGCGUAGAUAUGCGGAGGAACACCGAUGGCGAAGGCAGUCCCCUGGGCCUGUACUGACGCUCAUGCACGAAAGCGUGGGGAGCAAACAGG
This 253-nucleotide ribosomal RNA is filed under the name uncultured bacterium. RNAcentral's name for it is "partial 16S ribosomal RNA". It matches the Rfam family "Bacterial small subunit ribosomal RNA", at positions 524 to 776 of the family's 1533-position model. The record is from RNAcentral.